GCCCGGGUGGCGAAAACAGGUAAACGCGCUGUCUUGAGGAGGCAGUGGAUUUCAUCCAUGCGGGUUCAAGUCUCGCCUCGGGCA
RNAcentral lists this transfer RNA (84 nucleotides) under Candidatus Burkholderia crenata. RNAcentral describes it as "tRNA-Leu". It matches the Rfam family "tRNA". Rfam says of the family: Transfer RNA (tRNA) molecules are approximately 80 nucleotides in length. Their secondary structure includes four short double-helical elements and three loops (D, anti-codon, and T loops). The record is from RNAcentral. Lineage: Bacteria; Pseudomonadati; Pseudomonadota; Betaproteobacteria; Burkholderiales; Burkholderiaceae.